CUCUUCCUCGCUCCCCAGUCCGCGCCUCGCUGGGCUCAGCACCCCGGCCCCCGGCGGGACGGAGGCUCGGGUCCAAAGCAGUGGCUGCACCGACACGAACCCGUCUGCGUUUCUCCACCUGUCUUCCCUCGCCACCUGCAUCUACUAUGGUCUCUAAAUGCCUCGCUUUGUACUUUGUGGCUUUCUGGCAGCCCUUUAAAGCAGCGGUGAAAGAAAGGAGAGAGUCAAGACACGGGAGAAAAUGUUUCAUCCCGGGUUCUUCUAGUGGUGCCCGGUAAGUGACUCCGGACUGACGAGCAGAAAAAUCCCAGGGCCAUCAAUAGAGGGCCUUCGGUGUAGAAUGCGGUUUGCUCAGCUGUCAGCAAAGAGGGACGCAAAACCUAAAUUUGAGAUAUCAGAAAUAACUAAAUAAAAUAGACCUUGGCUGAUUACAACUAAUGGUUCUGAAACCUAGCAAAAGGGUCAGAUUCUGAUCUUGAAUAUACUCUCGAGAGAACCGUUUCAGUACGGGGGUGUAGCUCAGUGGUAGAGCGCGUGCUUAGCAUGCACGAGGCCCCGGGUUCAAUCCCCGGCACCUCCAUUCCUUUUGCUUUUAAUUUUUUUCCCAUUGCUUUACUUUAUUUUCCUUGCUUAAACAGAAAGUAACCCUAUUUCACAACGGUUUUGCCAUUAAUAUUAGUGCUGUUCCAUUUCUACUCCUCAGCCUUGACACGACUCGGGGGACUGCCUAAGCAAAAGGUGGAAAAGAUGGAGCUGGAAGACAAAGACGGCUCCGGAUUCCAAAACUUCAAUGGCGUCGCCAAAUUGACGAGCUCAUUAACCUUUGGAGUAUUGUUAUUUAAAAAGUAGGAAAUAAAAGAUAAAUGUGGAAAUAUUUAAUAAAAGAAAAACGUAAGCUCUCAAUUUUCUUUAUUACUUUUUUUUUUUUGAGACGGAGUCUCUCGCUCUGUCGCCCAGUGGCACGAUCUUGGCUCACUGCAAGCUCCGCCUCCCGGGUUUACGCCAUUCUUCUGCCUCAGCCUCCCGAGUAGCCGGGACUACAGGCGCCCGUCACCACGCCCGGCUAAUUUUUUCUAUUUUUUUGGUAGAGACAGGGUUUCACCGUGUUAGCCAGGAUGGUCGCGAUCUCCUGACCUCGUGAUCCUCCCGCCUCGGCCUCCCACAGUGCUGGGAUUACAGGAGUAAGCCACCACCGCUCCCAGCCGAUUUCCUUUAUUUUUUUUCUGGUCCUUGUUUAGCCAUGAUCCAUCGCAGGCUGAGCCCUGACAAACGCAAAGCCUUCCAAACUGGGAAAUUGAGAAAGUUAUUUUCAUCAAUGAAUGUAGAGGCGUCACACUUCUGCCGAAAUAGCUCCACUGGGAAGCAUGCUCUGCUGAAGAUCUCAAAGUUCACGGACUGAUUUCCAGUUUUAUUCUGUCUUCACUCCUGCCGGAUAAUUUGACUUCCCUUAGAUGACGUUACAGAAGUAAUUUUACCUAAGACAGGUGCGCCCUCUAUCGUAAGGAUAUCUUUCAGACUCUUGGUCCACACAAGAGUUGGUGGCACCGGAGAGCUUGUUAGAAGAGCGAAAUCUCAGCUUCACCUCAGACGUACUGAACCAGAAGUAGCAAUUUAACAAGAUCCACAAGAGAUUCUUUUGCACAUUUAAGAAGCAAUAUGACGUGCUUUGACGUGGAUGGAGUAAGGGUGUAUAGUAUAAAUACGCGGCUGUGUUUUUUCCCCCAAUUUUCUAUUCUAACAGAAAACAUAAUUGCAAAAAAUAUAUAUUUCUAUUGCUGAAUCAUUUUUGUGUUCUAAUCAUUGACUCUGUUCCUUGCCUCUCUGGCAAUAUUGUACUUAGUAAUAUUUUUUGAAUCACUAUUCAUGAUUGAAUAUGAUGUGAAGUUUUCAUUUUCUUUUUUUUUUUUCUUGAGACGGAGUCUCACUCUGUCGUCCAGGUUGGAGUGCAGUGGCGCGAUCUCGACUCACUGCAACCUCCGCCUCCCGGGUUCAAGCGAUUCUCCUGCCUCAGCAUCCCGAGUAACUGGGACAACAAGCGCGCGCCACCGCGCCCGGCUAAUUUUUUAUAUUUUUUUUAGGGACGGGGUUUCACCAUAUUGGCCAGGCUGGUCUCGAACUCCUGACCUCAUGAUCCGCCCGCCUCGCAAAGUGCUGGGAUUACAGGCAUGAGCCACCACUCCCGGCCUUUAUUUUCUUUUUCGCAAGUUUUGCAAUAAAGGCUGUGCUAACUUCUAAUGUAAACUGGGAAGUUUGUAUCCUUGCUCUGAAACAUUUUAAAUAGAAUAAGACCUUGUAAUCAUUCCAGAAUACACAGCCCUCUUCUCAUCAGCUACCACCAAAUCUUCAAGAACUUUUGUAUUAACACCACUUUGUAUUCUAAGCCCUGUGAUAGAUUUUAAAGAUCCAAAACCCUUUGCUAACCCUAAUGAAAGUGUGAGCUGAAGGAUAUCUCAAGAAUUGGGAAAUCCUUGGUUUCCGAUAUAAUAUCAGGCCACCUCUGUCCCUGUGAAGUGAUUAGGAAAUUUUCAAUGGAGAAAAUAAGUUCCAAAAGUCAUUCUUUCUCAGAUUAAGAUGUCUUGGGUUUCAGUUUACUUCUUUAAAGAAAGAUUCAGAGUUAGUACUGAGGACCCAGACUUUCUUGAUGUGGGAAAUAGAUAAUUUUCUGUUCUGUUGACAUUUUUUCUCUCUCUUCUCUCAUUUUCAAAGUACAGUUCCACAAUGUCUCUUUGCCACUUAUACUCACUGUGGCAGAAAAAAAUUAUUCACAGG
RNAcentral lists this long non-coding RNA (2769 nucleotides) under Homo sapiens (human). RNAcentral describes it as "non-protein coding lnc-TRIM27-10:2". The stretch from base 509 to 580 matches the Rfam family "tRNA". The record is from RNAcentral. Lineage: Eukaryota; Metazoa; Chordata; Mammalia; Primates; Hominidae.